This 1560-nucleotide ribosomal RNA is filed under the name human gut metagenome. RNAcentral's name for it is "bacterial LSU rRNA". It matches the Rfam family "Bacterial large subunit ribosomal RNA", at positions 1287 to 2925 of the family's 2925-position model. The record is from RNAcentral.
AGUGAGAAUGCCGGAAUGAGUAGCGAGAAUUAUGUGAGAAUCAUAAUGGCCGAAAAUCUAAGGUUUCCUGAGGAAGGUUCGUCCGCUCAGGGUAAGCCGGGGGCUAAGGCGAGGCGGAGACGCGUAGCCGAUGCACAUACGGUUGAAAUUCCGUAGCCACCGAAAGAUUUAAAUACAGGGACGCUUUAGAAGUGAUGUUGCCGGGCGAUGGUUGACCCGGUCGUAAGGGAUCGAAAAUGAGUAGAGAAGUCAUCAUGGAAAGAGACAAGAAAAGCUGUAUGGAUAUCUUAGGUGCCCGUACCGCAAACCGACACAGGUAGAUAGGAAGAAGAUUCUAAGGCCAACGGGAGAAGGGUUGUUAAGGAACUCGGCAAGUUGACCCCGUAACUUAGGGAUAAGGGGUGCUCAAGUGAUUGAGCCGCAGAGAAUAGGCCCAGGCGACUGUUUAGCAAAAACACAGGUCUCUGCUAAAUCGAAAGAUGACGUAUAGGGGCUGACACCUGCCCGGUGCCGGAAGGUUAAGAGGAGAUGUGAGAGCAUUGAAUUGAAGCCCCGGUAAACGGCGGCCGUAACUAUAACGGUCCUAAGGUAGCGAAAUUCCUUGUCAGGUAAGUUCUGACCCGCACGAAAGGUGUAACGAUCUGGGCACUGUCUCAACAACCCGCCCGGCGAAAUUGUAGUACCGGUGAAGAUGCCGGUUACCCGCGACUAGACGGAAAGACCCCAUGGAGCUUUACUGUAGCCUAAUAUUGGAUUUCGGUAUUUCACGUACAGGAUAGGUGGGAGACUGGGAAGCACAGGCGUCAGCUUGUGUGGAGUCGACCUUGGGAUACCACUCUUGGAGUGCUGGAAUUCUAACCUGCGGCUUUGAAGCAAGUCGGGGGACAUUGUUAGGUGGGCAGUUUGACUGGGGCGGUCGCCUCCUAAAGAGUAACGGAGGCGCUCAAAGGUUCGCUCUGCAUGGAUGGAAACCAUGCGUCAGAGUGUAAACGCAAAAGCGAGCCUAACUGCGAGAAUGACGGUUCGAGCAGUAACGAAAGUUGGAGUUAGUGAUCCGGCGGUAUGUGAAUGGAAAUGCCGUCGCUCAACGGAUAAAAGCUACCCUGGGGAUAACAGGCUGAUCUCCCCCAAGAGUCCACAUCGACGGGGAGGUUUGGCACCUCGAUGUCGGCUCAUCGCAUCCUGGGGCUGAAUUCGGUCCCAAGGGUUUGGCUGUUCGCCAAUUAAAGCGGUACGCGAGCUGGGUUCAGAACGUCGUGAGACAGUUCGGUCCCUAUCUGUCGUGGGCGUAGGAUAUUUGCAAGGAGCUGUCCCUAGUACGAGAGGACCGGGAUGGACGCACCUCUGGUGCACCAGUUGUCACGCCAGUGGCACAGCUGGGCAGCUAUGUGCGGAACGGAUAAACGCUGAAGGCAUCUAAGCGUGAAGCCGCCCUUAAGAUAAGAUAUCCCUUCUGUUUACAGAGUAAGACCCCUUGAAGACUACAAGGUUGAUAGGCUCAAAGUGUAAGCACGGUGACGUGUUUAGCUAGCGAGUACUAAUCGGUCGAGGGCUUAACCU